AUGAACGCUAGCUACAGGCUUAACACAUGCAAGUCGAGGGGCAUCAGGAAGAAAGCUUGCUUUCUUUGCUGGCGACCGGCGCACGGGUGAGUAACACGUAUCCAACCUGCCCUUUACUCGGGGAUAGCCUUUCGAAAGAAAGAUUAAUACCCGAUGGCAUAAUGAUUCCGCAUGGUUUCAUUAUUAAAGGAUUCCGGUAAAGGAUGGGGAUGCGUUCCAUUAGGUUGUUGGUGAGGUAACGGCUCACCAAGCCUUCGAUGGAUAGGGGUUCUGAGAGGAAGGUCCCCCACAUUGGAACUGAGACACGGUCCAAACUCCUACGGGAGGCAGCAGUGAGGAAUAUUGGUCAAUGGGCGCUAGCCUGAACCAGCCAAGUAGCGUGAAGGAUGAAGGCUCUAUGGGUCGUAAACUUCUUUUAUAUAAGAAUAAAGUGCAGUAUGUAUACUGUUUUGUAUGUAUUAUAUGAAUAAGGAUCGGCUAACUCCGUGCCAGCAGCCGCGGUAAUACGGAGGAUCCGAGCGUUAUCCGGAUUUAUUGGGUUUAAAGGGAGCGUAGGUGGACUGGUAAGUCAGUUGUGAAAGUUUGCGGCUCAACCGUAAAAUUGCAGUUGAUACUGUCAGUCUUGAGUACAGUAGAGGUGGGCGGAAUUCGUGGUGUAGCGGUGAAAUGCUUAGAUAUCACGAAGAACUCCGAUUGCGAAGGCAGCUCACUGGACUGCAACUGACACUGAUGCUCGAAAGUGUGGGUAUCAAACAGGAUUAGAUACCCUGGUAGUCCACACAGUAAACGAUGAAUACUCGCUGUUUGCGAUAUACAGUAAGCGGCCAAGCGAAAGCAUUAAGUAUUCCACCUGGGGAGUACGCCGGCAACGGUGAAACUCAAAGGAAUUGACGGGGGCCCGCACAAGCGGAGGAACAUGUGGUUUAAUUCGAUGAUACGCGAGGAACCUUACCCGGGCUUAAAUUGCAGUGGAAUGAUGUGGAAACAUGUCAGUGAGCAAUCACCGCUGUGAAGGUGCUGCAUGGUUGUCGUCAGCUCGUGCCGUGAGGUGUCGGCUUAAGUGCCAUAACGAGCGCAACCCUUAUCUUUAGUUACUAACAGGUUAUGCUGAGGACUCUAGAGAGACUGCCGUCGUAAGAUGUGAGGAAGGUGGGGAUGACGUCAAAUCAGCACGGCCCUUACGUCCGGGGCUACACACGUGUUACAAUGGGGGGUACAGAAGGCAGCUAGCGGGUGACCGUAUGCUAAUCCCAAAAGCCUCUCUCAGUUCGGAUCGAAGUCUGCAACCCGACUUCGUGAAGCUGGAUUCGCUAGUAAUCGCGCAUCAGCCACGGCGCGGUGAAUACGUUCCCGGGCCUUGUACACACCGCCCGUCAAGCCAUGGGAGCCGGGGGUACCUGAAGUACGUAACCGCAAGGAUCGUCCUAGGGUAAAACUGGUGACUGG
RNAcentral lists this ribosomal RNA (1446 nucleotides) under uncultured organism. RNAcentral describes it as "SSU rRNA". It matches the Rfam family "Bacterial small subunit ribosomal RNA". The record is from RNAcentral.